AGAAACUUUCCGCCUGGCAGAACUGUACAUGGAUGAGGUACAAACCUUGAAGUCCAGCUUCAAGAUGCCGGGAGUUUCUAACAGGAAGAAACAUGAGAUAUGGGAACAAAUAGCCGAGGAGUUGAAUAACUCAUUCAACAACUACAGGACCUCGGCUGAAGUGAAGAAACGCUGGUUCUUCAUAAGUUCCCGGUCUCGGCAAAAAAUCCAGCGAUUCCGUGAGGAACGGAAUAGGACAGGUGGUGGUCCUCCUCCCCCUCCACUGGAUCCCAUUGACGAACUAAUUGAGGAUAUUCUGGGACCAGACAGCAAAACAAUAAUGGGUGAGCCUCAAGUCGAUGAUCUGAUGGAUGUCCUGCGUGCUGACAUAAAGGACGUGAGACCUGCUGCAGGAGGAGCAACAGCAGAUCCGUUGGUCAGUUUCAAUAGCCACGAAUCUGCAGAUGCACCAACUGUAAUAUAUGUUGAUGCAUCUGCAGAAGAAGCGCUUCCCCCUUCAUCCACCCCCUCAGAAGAUCCCACCACGGGACAAAUGGGAGCUGUAAGGGCAGUGGAGUCUGCUGCCCAGGAACACAAGGCAGCUGCUCAGGCAGUGGCAUCCGCUGCACGGGCCCAAGAGGCA
Molecule: long non-coding RNA, 622 nt
Organism: Eriocheir sinensis (Chinese mitten crab)
Lineage: Eukaryota; Metazoa; Arthropoda; Malacostraca; Decapoda; Varunidae
Exons: 3
Source: RefSeq, a predicted model, not a curated record